GGGUCCGCAGCUCGAGCCGGGCGAGCAACUGCUUCGCACGCAGAAGGUUGGGAGUUCAAAUCUCCCCGGAUCCACCA
RNAcentral lists this transfer RNA (77 nucleotides) under Chloroflexota bacterium. Its description in RNAcentral is "Chloroflexi bacterium tRNA-Ala". It matches the Rfam family "tRNA". Rfam says of the family: Transfer RNA (tRNA) molecules are approximately 80 nucleotides in length. Lineage: Bacteria; Bacillati; Chloroflexota. RNAcentral also lists the same sequence under 1 other name. The record is from RNAcentral.